GUGGCCACGGCUGCCACGUUGAACAGCACAGACCACAGAACCAUUCCGCAAUCACUGUGCAGCGCUGUCCUAGAUUGUCCUUGAUUCCAGAGGAAGGACACUUCAGACAGCACUCAAAAUACUGGACAUUCUAUUAAAAAAAAGUUUUUACGAGCCUUCUGGGAGACAUGACAGAACAACUGAGCACCAGGAGGAUUUCACAGGUCACCCACUUAGAGGAGAGCAGGCCUGGGCUUCGACUGUCCCCACAGGCCCAGGAAAACAGAGACGCACUGGAAGAGCUCACUGCUGAGUUGGAAUACAUUUUAAAAGGAAUCAGGCAGAGAACCAGAGUGGGCUCCUGCCCUGGACACUACGGAAUGACAUGCUACAGGGGCACCUGGCUCCACUUGGCUCCGCCCUCCUCCACAGAGGGCUCUCCCCACUGCCAGCCCAUGACAGCACCAGCUUCACGCCACCACUGCCCUGGCCGAGUGCUCACAGGAGCUCACAGGCCUCCUGUGAGCGCCCCGUGGGCUCCCCCAGGGGCAGUGGGCACGCUUGGCUCGGCAGGUUUCUCUGAAUGCUCCGUAUUGUCCACUGCACCUGCGCCUCUGGGAACCUUGGGAACACCACCACCGGCUUUCUCGCCACAGCUGGGUUAAGGACCAAGUCCUCUGGUGAGCCCCUGUUCUCAUCAUUCCCUCGGUGGCCAUGUUUCCCCAGCUGUGCUCAGUUACAGUUUGAAAAAGCAGAGAAACAAUUUUAGACUCCGGGUCAAAUUAUCUUUCUCCAGAGCAUAUCCACUCUUGCUUCUAGCAGGUGAAUCACCUUCGACUGAUCAGAGAUGGAGGAAAUUUCAAGUCUGUUUUGUUUUAAUUUUGUUUGUUUUCACAUUUUUUUCCAUUUUGUUUGUUCUUGUUUUUCAGUGCAGGGGAUUGAACCCAGGGGUGCUCAACCACUGAGCCACAUCCCCAGCCCUUUUUAUCUUUUGUUUUGUGGCAGGGUCUUGCUGAGUUGCUUAGGACCCGGAUAAGUUGCUGAGGCUGGCUUUGAACUGGCAAUCCUCCUGCCUCAGACUCCUGAGAGCUAAGUCUGAUUUCAGUCCUCACCAGGUCUCACCUAUUUUGGCCCAACCCACUCUAUAAGGUCCCCCACUCUAUAAGUUUCUGUAAACUUAUAGAAACACGUCAGUGUUGAU
RNAcentral lists this long non-coding RNA (1180 nucleotides) under Marmota monax (woodchuck). Lineage: Eukaryota; Metazoa; Chordata; Mammalia; Rodentia; Sciuridae. The record is from RNAcentral.